GCUCGGGUGGUGGAAUUGGUAGACACGUACGCUUGAGGGGCGUAUGCCUAUGGCGUGGGGGUUCAAGUCCCCCCUCGAGCACCA
This 84-nucleotide transfer RNA is filed under the name Candidatus Altimarinota bacterium. RNAcentral's name for it is "Candidatus Gracilibacteria bacterium tRNA-Leu". It matches the Rfam family "tRNA". From Rfam's summary of the family: Transfer RNA (tRNA) molecules are approximately 80 nucleotides in length. Their secondary structure includes four short double-helical elements and three loops (D, anti-codon, and T loops). Lineage: Bacteria; Candidatus Altimarinota. The record is from RNAcentral.